RNAcentral lists this ribosomal RNA (429 nucleotides) under Acidobacteriota bacterium. Its description in RNAcentral is "Acidobacteria bacterium partial 16S ribosomal RNA". It matches the Rfam family "Bacterial small subunit ribosomal RNA", at positions 355 to 776 of the family's 1533-position model. Lineage: Bacteria; Pseudomonadati; Acidobacteriota. The record is from RNAcentral.
UGGGGAAUUUUGGACAAUGGGGGAAACCCUGAUCCAGCCAUCCCGCGUGUUCGAUGAAGGCCUUCGGGUUGUAAAGCACUUUUGGCAGGAAAGAAACGUCAUGGGUUAAUACCCCGUGAAACUGACGGUACCUGCAGAAUAAGCACCGGCUAACUACGUGCCAGCAGCCGCGGUAAUACGUAGGGUGCAAGCGUUAAUCGGAAUUACUGGGCGUAAAGCGUGCGCAGGCGGUUCGGAAAGAAAGAUGUGAAAUCCCAGAGCUCAACUUUGGAACUGCAUUUUUAACUACCGGGCUAGAGUGUGUCAGAGGGAGGUGGAAUUCCGCGUGUAGCAGUGAAAUGCGUAGAUAUGCGGAGGAACAACGAUGGCGAAGGCAGCCUCCUGGGAUAACACUGACGCUCAUGCACGAAAGCGUGGGGAGCAAACAGG